CCUACGGGAGGCAGCAGUAGGGAAUCUUUCACAAUGGGCGAAAGCCUGAUGGAGCAACGCCGCGUGCAGGAUGGAGGCCUUCGGGUUGUAAACUGCUUUUAUAAGCGAGAAAUAUGAUGGUAACUUAUGAAUAAGGAUCGGCUAACUACGUGCCAGCAGCCGCGGUCAUACGUAGGAUCCGAGCAUUAUCCGGAGUGAAUGGGUGUAAAGAGUUGCGUAGGUGGCAUAAUAAGUAGCUAGUGAAAUCUGGUGGCUCAACCAUUCAGACUAUUAGCGAAACUGUUAAGCGUGAGACCGUUAGGGGUAACUGGAAUUUCUAGUGUAGGAGUGAAAUGCGUAGAUAUUAGAAAGAACACCGAUAGCGUAGGCAGGUUACUGGGACGGUUCUGACACUAAGGCACGAAAGCGUAGGGAGCAAACGGGAUUAGAUACCCCUGUAGUC
RNAcentral lists this ribosomal RNA (442 nucleotides) under uncultured bacterium. RNAcentral describes it as "partial 16S ribosomal RNA". It matches the Rfam family "Bacterial small subunit ribosomal RNA", at positions 338 to 795 of the family's 1533-position model. The record is from RNAcentral.